GCACCCGUAGCUCAGUUGGAUAGAGCGUCUGUUUGCGGAACAGGAGGUCAUGGGUUCGACUCCCUUCGGGUGCA
Molecule: transfer RNA, 74 nt
Filed under: Minisyncoccota bacterium
Lineage: Bacteria; Bacillati; Minisyncoccota
Description: tRNA-Arg
Rfam family: tRNA
About the family: Transfer RNA (tRNA) molecules are approximately 80 nucleotides in length. Their secondary structure includes four short double-helical elements and three loops (D, anti-codon, and T loops).
Source: RNAcentral